AGAAGGGCGGCCGAGAAGCUGUCAAAGUAAAUCCCGGCUCGCCUCUCGGAUGGUUUAAUUCCAACGGCGCAUGAAACACCCCAGGACGGUUCAUAAGUUUAGCCAGGCGUGCUGUUCUCCCUAAUACAUUUUAAUUACGCAUCCGUUCUAACUGCAAUCAGAUCAAGCCAGCGGAAAAGGCACCAAUCGGAAUGCCCGGCGGCCAGCCCCGCCCGGCGUUCGGAGGAGCGGCACCUCGUGCCCCGCCGGCACCCCGCUCCCUGUUCCCGGCACGGGACGCCCGAAGUCGCGGCAGCACCCGCCAGAAGGGCAGGCUGGCAGCGAGCUGUCAACGGCCCCGUCAACGUCCCCGCCGCCGGCACCGGCGAUCCGGGCUCCCCGCUCCCCCGGCCCCCAACCGUCCGGCCCGGCCCGGCCCCGCCGCCGGCAGGUGUGCCCCCGCCCGCCGUACCUGUCAUCGUAGCAGAAGUCGGCGCCCAGCGUGUUGAGACUUGGCAGGAAGGAGUCCUACCCAUGGCACACCUGUGAUGGAGGGUUCCCUGCUUCUCUCUCUGUUAGAGUGGGCAUCUGCAGGGACUUCUGGGCUUCCAGUGUUGCAAAACCAAAGUAAACUACUGAAAAGUGGCAAGGAAACAAGCACACCCCAAGGCCAGCACUAGUUAUUAACAUCCUGCCUCCAUUUUCUGCCAGCCACUCCUUUGCAACCAUUCCUGGUGUUUUCUAUCAAGUGGCCAUCACAUUGCCCCAGAAGAAUGGGAGUCUGUACAGUAAGCUGCAUCAAAUAAAACGGAAGGCUUUUAACAACUUCUCUUA
Long non-coding RNA from Phasianus colchicus (ring-necked pheasant), 813 nucleotides. RefSeq lists it as uncharacterized. The record is from RefSeq and is a predicted model, not a curated record. Lineage: Eukaryota; Metazoa; Chordata; Aves; Galliformes; Phasianidae.